RNAcentral lists this small nuclear RNA (179 nucleotides) under Ipomoea nil (Japanese morning glory). RNAcentral's name for it is "U2 spliceosomal RNA". It matches the Rfam family "U2 spliceosomal RNA". Rfam says of the family: U2 is a small nuclear RNA (snRNA) component of the spliceosome (involved in pre-mRNA splicing). Complementary binding between U2 snRNA (in an area lying towards the 5' end but 3' to hairpin I) and the branchpoint sequence (BPS) of the intron results the bulging out of an unpaired adenosine, on the BPS, which initiates a nucleophilic attack at the intronic 5' splice site, thus starting the first of two transesterification reactions that mediate splicing. Lineage: Eukaryota; Viridiplantae; Streptophyta; Magnoliopsida; Solanales; Convolvulaceae. The record is from Rfam by way of RNAcentral.
AUAAUUUGCCAGUGUAGUAUCUGUUCUUGUUAGUUUAAUAUUUGAUACGUGGGUUAUUAGCCUACACGAUAUUAACUCAAUUUUUUUUUUAGUGUAAAGACCCACUAAGGCAGCUUGCUGUUUGGGCCUUUGAGUGUCGCUUCGGCGUUGUACUAUUGCCUUGGCCUGGCACACCCCAC